GCAAGUCUGGUGCCAGCAGCCGCGGUAAUUCCAGCUCCAAUAGCGUAUGCUAAAGCUGCUGCGGUUAAAAAGCUCGUAGUUGGAUCUCAGUUGCGGGCGGGUGGUGCAUCUACCCGAUGUGACAGCCCGAUCUGAACAUCUUGCCUUCUAUCCUCUGGUGUCCUUCACUGGAUGCCUUUGGGUGGUCGGUGCAUUUACUUUGAAAAAAUUGGAGUGCUCAACGCAGGCGAAGUGCCUGAACACUUAUGCAUGGAAUAAUAGAACAAGACCUCGUUUCUGUUCUGUUGGUUUUUGGAAAACGAGGUAAUGAUCAAGAGGGACAGACGGGGGCAUUCGUAUUGCGGCGCUAGAGGUGAAAUUCUUGGACCGUCGCAAGACGAACUACAGCGAAAGCAUUUGCCAAGAAUGUUUUCAUUGAUCAAGAACGAAAGUUAGAGGUUCGAAGGCGAUCAGAUACCGCCCUAGUUCUAACCAUAAACGAUGCCAACCAGCAAUCCGCCUGAGUUACUCCAAUGACUCUGCGGGCAGCUUCCGGGAAACCAAAGUAUUUGGGUUCCGGGGGAAGUAUGGUUGCAAAGCUGAAACUUAAAGGAAUUGACGGAAG
Molecule: ribosomal RNA, 604 nt
Filed under: Ornithodoros sp. 1 SWH-2019
Lineage: Eukaryota; Metazoa; Arthropoda; Arachnida; Ixodida; Argasidae
Description: SSU rRNA
Rfam family: Eukaryotic small subunit ribosomal RNA
Source: RNAcentral